RNAcentral lists this ribosomal RNA (447 nucleotides) under Triticum aestivum (bread wheat). RNAcentral's name for it is "partial small subunit ribosomal RNA". The record is from RNAcentral. Lineage: Eukaryota; Viridiplantae; Streptophyta; Magnoliopsida; Poales; Poaceae.
AUGGGUGACAAAGGGUCCUGCAACGGGUAUUGUAUUGAUCUCAUGUAUUGUCUCUUUGAGCAUCCCAAUGGCAAGAUAAAUAUUCCUCACAUCUUGUGGCAUGAGAUUCGUCUUGCUAGUCUUCAGUACAAGUGGGCCUUUCCUCAUGCUCCUUUUCUUCAGGAUUUCAUUGAGAGUAUUGCUCCUUUUCCCAUUGCUCGGACUCAUGUUCAUCCGCGAUGGGUCAUUCCACCUCAUAUGGCGGAUGAUUGGGCUCCCAAGAAAUCCUCAACUGCACGACAGUCUGCUGCACAGUCUCUCCCUAUUCCCCCUAGCUCGGGGUCUUUUGGACGCAUUGCUCGCUUUCUCAGGAAGGCCCAUUCUGCCAUGAUGAAGGCCUUCUCCUUCCACUAUGUUCUCAAAAUCAUGAUGUGUUCACUCGCAUGGUCUCUUCUAAGAAUGCUCUGA